GUCCUGGCUUUGGAAGCACACAUAUAGUUGGAGCAAAACAGAGAAGAUUAGCAUGGCUCCUGCGCCAGGACGACAUGCAAAUUCGUGAAGCGUUCCACUAAAAA
This 104-nucleotide small nuclear RNA is filed under the name Castor canadensis (American beaver). Lineage: Eukaryota; Metazoa; Chordata; Mammalia; Rodentia; Castoridae. The record is from RNAcentral.